UGGCGGACGGGUGGGUAAUGUCUGGGAAACUGCCUGAUGGAGGGGGAUAACUACUGGAAACGGUAGCUAAUACCGCAUAACGUCGCAAGACCAAAGAGGGGGACCUUAGGGCCUCUUGCCAUCGGAUGUGCCCAGAUGGGAUUAGCUAGUAGGUGGGGUAACGGCUCACCUAGGCGACGAUCCCUAGCUGGUCUGAGAGGCUGACCAGCCACACUGGAACUGAGACACGGUCCAG
This 235-nucleotide ribosomal RNA is filed under the name uncultured bacterium. Its description in RNAcentral is "partial 16S ribosomal RNA". It matches the Rfam family "Bacterial small subunit ribosomal RNA", at positions 96 to 334 of the family's 1533-position model. The record is from RNAcentral.